CUCCCUGUAGCGUAAUGGAUAGCGCGUUGGACUUCUAAUCUAAGGGUCGUGGGCUUGAAUCCCACCUGGGAUG
Molecule: transfer RNA, 73 nt
Filed under: Trichonephila inaurata madagascariensis
Lineage: Eukaryota; Metazoa; Arthropoda; Arachnida; Araneae; Nephilidae
Rfam family: tRNA
About the family: Transfer RNA (tRNA) molecules are approximately 80 nucleotides in length. Their secondary structure includes four short double-helical elements and three loops (D, anti-codon, and T loops).
Source: Rfam by way of RNAcentral